GUUGAAAUAGCUCAGUUGGGAGAGCGUUAGACUGAAGAUCUAAAGGUCCCUAGUACAACAAUCCUGGGUUUCGGCA
Sorex araneus (European shrew) is the source of this 76-nucleotide non-coding RNA. The record is from the annotation of a RefSeq genome assembly. Lineage: Eukaryota; Metazoa; Chordata; Mammalia; Eulipotyphla; Soricidae.